Molecule: long non-coding RNA, 197 nt
Organism: Helianthus annuus (common sunflower)
Lineage: Eukaryota; Viridiplantae; Streptophyta; Magnoliopsida; Asterales; Asteraceae
Exons: 3
Source: RefSeq, a predicted model, not a curated record
GUUUUGGUGCCGACUCGGGUCUCGGUCAAACCGCGGUCAACGGUCAGAAUCGGGUUCGGGUCAGCGGGUUAAACACGAGCCACGGGUGACAUCGGUGUUCCAUCAUCCUAACCUCACACUCGUCGACACUUGGAUAAUCGGAAGAAAUUGCAAUAAUGUUGAUGAUGAUGAAAUGAAAGAGGUAGCACGAUGCCUAG